UACAGAGGUGGCAAGCGUUGUUCGGAAUUACUGGGCGUAAAGGGCGCGUAGGCGGCUUGGUCAGUCCCGUGUGAAAUCCCUCGGCUCAACUGAGGAACUGCACGGGAAACUGCCUGGCUUGAGUUCGGGAGAGGGAAGCGGAAUUCCGGGUGUAGCGGUGAAAUGCGUAGAUAUCGGAAGGAACGCCGGUGGCGAAAGCGACGGACUGGAUCUCUUCUGACGCUGAGGCGCGAAAGCCAGGGGAGCAAACGGG
This 253-nucleotide ribosomal RNA is filed under the name uncultured bacterium. RNAcentral describes it as "partial 16S ribosomal RNA". It matches the Rfam family "Bacterial small subunit ribosomal RNA", at positions 524 to 776 of the family's 1533-position model. The record is from RNAcentral.